RNAcentral lists this ribosomal RNA (253 nucleotides) under uncultured bacterium. RNAcentral describes it as "partial 16S ribosomal RNA". It matches the Rfam family "Bacterial small subunit ribosomal RNA", at positions 524 to 776 of the family's 1533-position model. The record is from RNAcentral.
GACGGAGGGGGCUAGCGUUGUUCGGAAUUACUGGGCGUAAAGAGCGCGUAGGCGGUAUAAUAAGUUGGGAGUGAAAGCCCGGGGCUCAACCUCGGAAUUGCUUCCAAAACUGUUAUGCUAGAGUGUAGUAGGGGAUGAUGGAAUUCCUAGUGGAGAGGUGACAUUCUUAGAUAUUAGGAGGAACACCGGUGGCGAAGGCGGUCAUCUGGGCUACAACUGACGCUGAGGCGCGAAAGCAUGGGGAGCAAACAGG